Molecule: long non-coding RNA, 432 nt
Organism: Castor canadensis (American beaver)
Lineage: Eukaryota; Metazoa; Chordata; Mammalia; Rodentia; Castoridae
Source: RefSeq, a predicted model, not a curated record
GGGGAGAGGCUCAGCUGUGUCCAGUGCGGGACGCCUGGUGUCUCGGCGACCUUUGUCUCCUGCCUGGCGCCUGCACUGGAGCAUGACCCAGCGCUCUGCAGCUGUGUAGACAAAGACGCCCUAGAGGAAUUGGGAUCUGGGUUUUGAAGGAUGUCUAAGAGUUGGAUGCAGAACUUAUACCCAUCAGCUGGCCUGGCCUGGUUUCACAUUUCUGACUGCUCAAGACACUUAAUGGACAAUCUGAGAUCCAUCCAGGGAGACGUGAAAACAGAACCCAGUUGUCCUGGCUCUCUGCUUGCCAGCUAUGUGGUUGUGAGAUUCUCUUCUGUUCUCUGAGCCUUAUUGUUCUCCUCUGCAAAACAGAGUUCGUAAUUCUUGUCCACCUGACUCUGCUGAUGUGAAGAUUUGAGCAGUUAAUAACAUUCAUAGUGU